GAAGUAAAAGUCUAACAAGGUUUCCGUAGGUGAACCUGCGGAAGGAUCAUUCAUAAUAAGUGUUUUAUGGCACUUUUUUAAAUCCAUAUCCACCUUGUGUGCAAUGUCAGGGUUGAUUUUUCUCUCGAGAGGAUCAACCCCAAACAUCAACUAUAUCUCAACUCUUUGUCUGAAAAAUAUUAUGAAUAAAACAAUUCAAAAUACAACUUUCAACAACGGAUCUCUUGGCUCAC
RNAcentral lists this unclassified non-coding RNA (233 nucleotides) under plant metagenome. RNAcentral's name for it is "partial contains small subunit ribosomal RNA, internal transcribed spacer 1, and 5.8S ribosomal RNA". The stretch from base 1 to 52 matches the Rfam family "Eukaryotic small subunit ribosomal RNA", at positions 1779 to 1831 of the family's 1831-position model. The record is from RNAcentral.